This 727-nucleotide long non-coding RNA is filed under the name Monodelphis domestica (gray short-tailed opossum). RNAcentral's name for it is "lncRNA (ENSMODG00000048594.1)". Lineage: Eukaryota; Metazoa; Chordata; Mammalia; Didelphimorphia; Didelphidae. The record is from RNAcentral.
CUCUAAGCUGUUCAUGGAGCAGAGCUCCAGCACUUUGGGGGUGACUGCUGAUAAUUGAAACCAUGGGAAAUAAAACCAUAGAUAAGGAGUUUCUUUUAAAACCCCAGGGAGUCCCUGAGUGCUUCGGGAAAGAAGCCUUGUGAUUUGGUAGCAAGCCUUCUGGCCCUGGAGUCAACCAAGACAUCCUUCACAUCUUACCUCCACCAGGGUCAACAUUUUGGAGGUCCUACCGAGAUCCGAAGUCCCAGCUUCCUGAGCUGCUCUGCUAAUGAGGACCCCAAGACUUGAGAUAUUACAAGUUGCCACGUACUCUGCAUUUGAGCCAUUCAUCUGAAAUAACAGCAAAACACCCUGUGUGCUGCCAUCGUCCUUAGUGAGAACUGGGUUCACAUCCAGGGACUUCCUGCCUCUUUGGGAAGACAUUGACAAACUGGAGAGAUGCCCAGGGAAAAGAACAACAAAGAGAGGUUUGCUGGGUCUGGAAUGCACUCCCUCCUCCCCACUCCCUCUUCGAAUCCCAAGAUUUCUCCAAAAAUGCAGCUUGGGUGUUACCUCUGAUGGGCCUUUCCUGAUUUUCCGUCCCCUCCCAUACACUAACACAGGCUCUCCUUUGAAAUCACUUUGGGUAGACUUUAUAUUAUCUCUGUAUACAGUGUCUCCUCAAGUAGAAUGUAAGCUCCUUGAAGGCUCAGACUUUUUAUUUUUGUUUUUAAUAGAUGUUUGGUAA